Molecule: long non-coding RNA, 810 nt
Filed under: Gossypium barbadense (sea-island cotton)
Lineage: Eukaryota; Viridiplantae; Streptophyta; Magnoliopsida; Malvales; Malvaceae
Description: long non-coding RNA (GBAR_LNC017239)
Source: RNAcentral
CUUUUUAAAAAAAAACCAAAAACACCUUCACAAAAAGCUCUCCCCUUUCUCAGCUCGUCCGGCCUAGAUCCGGCACCAGCCAAUCGUCAGCCACUGCGCCGAUCGCCGGCCUCUGACGACGGCUCCGCCGUCUGCGGUGGCCGGAGAAGGAGAAAAUCUCCUAUUCGGCUCUUCCGACCUCUCCAAGCCCAAAUCUAGGUUCGAAUCCCUCAAAAAAAAAACUACCCAAAUGUCUCCAAAUUUUCGAGAAACCUUUCAGUUCUUGGCCGUCUAUCCUCGGAGACGACUGCCUCGGCCGUUCACGGCGAUCUAAGCAAAGAAAGGUUGUUUCUUUCCCUUUUUAUAUUUGUAUUUAUACACAUGCAAAUAAGAAAAAACAAUAAACUAAAGUAAAGCAAAUAAAUAUAGACCUUUAAAUAGAUUUUCUGCUUUCUCUGUAUUGAACUCGUUAUUUGUAUUUGCUGUGAAAAUAAUUUUUUUUAUUGAUUUUUCGGAUCCCGAUUAUAGUGUAUUGAUGGCUUUUUUUAUAGCCGAAUGAAACAAUUAAAAGAAGAAACAAAAUCUGUUUUAUUUUGAUUUGCGAAUCUUUGAUUCUUUCCAUAUACUGCUAUUUCUCUUCUUGAUGCGCAGGUUUGAAGAUCGCGCGGAGAUUCGGGGGCAUGGUUGCGGCGCUGUUGAUCUUGAGAAACCCUAGGGUUUCUAAUUUUGUUUUGGGCCAUUUGUUUUUAGUUUAUUUCAGUUUGGGCCAUAUAGGCCCACUUGUAAUUUGGUCUGCUUUAUUUUCUUCAUGUAAGCCGGGCAAAAUUGAGG